Molecule: ribosomal RNA, 517 nt
Filed under: uncultured Archaeospora
Lineage: Eukaryota; Fungi; Glomeromycota; Glomeromycetes; Archaeosporales; Archaeosporaceae
Description: SSU rRNA
Rfam family: Eukaryotic small subunit ribosomal RNA
Source: RNAcentral
AGCAGCCGCGGUAAUUCCAGCUCCAAUAGCGUAUAUUAAAGUUGUUGCAGUUAAAAAGCUCGUAGUUGAAUUUUGGAUUCUGCCAGUUGGUCCAUCUUUUGAUGAGUACUGAUUGUGUGGGAUCUAUCCGCCUGGUAAUACGUAAUGUACUUUAUUGUAUGUUAUGGGUAGCCAGGACCUUUACCUUGAAAAAAUUAGAGUGUUUAAAGCAGGCUUAUGCCGGAAUACAUUAGCAUGGAAUAAUAGAAUAGGACGAUGUUGUUUUAUUUUGUUGGUUUCUAGGACAACCGUAAUGAUUAAUAGGGAUAGUUGGGGGCAUUAGUAUUCAAUUGUCAGAGGUGAAAUUCUUGGAUUUAUUGAAGACUAACUACUGCGAAAGCAUUUGCCAAGGAUGUUUUCAUUAAUCAAGAACGAAAGUUAGGGGAUCGAAGACGAUCAGAUACCGUCGUAGUCUUAACCAUAAACUAUGCCGACUAGGGAUCGGGCGAUGUUGUUUCCAUGACUCGCUCGGCACCUU